GACGAACGCUGGCGGCGUGCUUAACACAUGCAAGUCGAACGGAAAGGCCUCAGCUUGCUGGGGUACUCGAGUGGCGAACGGGUGAGUAACACGUGGGUGAUCUGCCUUGCACUCUGGGAUAAGCUUGGGAAACUGGGUCUAAUACCGGAUAUGAACUGCCUUUAGUGUGGUGGUUGGAAAGUUUUUUCGGUGCAAGAUGAGCUCGCGGCCUAUCAGCUUGUUGGUGGGGUAAUGGCCUACCAAGGCGUCGACGGGUAGCCGGCCUGAGAGGGUGUACGGCCACAUUGGGACUGAGAUACGGCCCAGACUCCUACGGGAGGCAGCAGUGGGGAAUAUUGCACAAUGGGCGGAAGCCUGAUGCAGCGACGCCGCGUGGGGGAUGACGGCCUUCAGGUUGUAAACUCCUUUCGACAGGGACGAAGCUUUUUGUGACGGUACCUGUAUAAGAAGCACCGGCUAACUACGUG
This 467-nucleotide ribosomal RNA is filed under the name uncultured bacterium. Its description in RNAcentral is "partial 16S ribosomal RNA". It matches the Rfam family "Bacterial small subunit ribosomal RNA", at positions 28 to 507 of the family's 1533-position model. The record is from RNAcentral.